AUCAAUAAGCGGAGGAAAAGAAACCAACAGGGAUUGCCCCAGUAACGGCGAGUGAAGCGGCAACAGCUCAAAUUUGAAAUCUGGCCCUUGGGUCCGAGUUGUAAUUUGUAGAGGAUGCUUUUGGCGAGGUGCCUUCCGAGUUCCCUGGAACGGGACGCCAUAGAGGGUGAGAGCCCCGUCUGGUCGGACACCGAGCCUCUGUAAAGCUCCUUCGACGAGUCGAGUAGUUUGGGAAUGCUGCUCAAAAUGGGAGGUAUAUGUCUUCUAAAGCUAAAUAUUGGCCAGAGACCGAUAGCGCACAAGUAGAGUGAUCGAAAGAUGAAAAGCACUUUGAAAAGAGGGUUAAAAAGUACGUGAAAUUGUUGAAAGGGAAGCGCCUAUGACCAGACUUGGGCCCGGUGAAUCAUCCAGCGUUCUCGCUGGUGCACUUUGCCGGGCACAGGCCAGCAUCAGUUUGGCGCGGGGGAAAAAGGCUUUGGGAAUGUGGCUCCCUCGGGAGUGUUAUAGCCCAUUGUGUAAUACCCUGCGCCGGACUGAGGUACGCGCAUUGCAAGGAUGCUGGCGUAAUGGUCAUCAGCGACCCGUCUUGAAACACGGACCAAGGAGUCGUCUUCGUAUGCGAGUGUUCGGGUGUCAAACCCCUACGCGUAAUGAAAGUGAACGCAGGUGAGAGCUUCGGCGCAUCAUCGACCGAUCCUGAUGUUCUCGGAUGGAUUUGAGUAAGAGCAUACGGGGCCGGACCCGAAAGAAGGUGAACUAUGCCUGUAUAGGGUGAAGCCAGAGGAAACUCUGGUGGAGGCUCGCAGCGGUUCUGACGUGCGAAUCGAUCGUCAAAUAUGGGCAUGGGGGCGAAAGACUAAUCGAACCUUCUAGUAGCUGGUUCCGCA
Molecule: ribosomal RNA, 887 nt
Filed under: Akanthomyces muscarius
Lineage: Eukaryota; Fungi; Ascomycota; Sordariomycetes; Hypocreales; Cordycipitaceae
Description: partial large subunit ribosomal RNA
Rfam family: Eukaryotic large subunit ribosomal RNA
Source: RNAcentral